UUCAAAAUGUCAGGUAGAGUCAUGUUAUUGCAGUGUGCAAAGUCACUCUUUCAAAAUACACCUUUGAAUCUUAACAAAUGUCUUUACUGGUAAAACAAUGAAUAAAUGACGAUGAGACAAUACAUGCUGCUCUGUACAUCACCUAUACAUGCUGCUCUGUACAUCACCUAUACAUGCUGCUCUGUACAUCACCUAUACAUGCUGCUCUGUACAUCACCUAUACAUGCUGCUCUGUACAUCACCUAUACAUGCUGCUCUGUACAUCACCAAUACAUGCUGCUCUGUACAUCACCUAUACAUGCUGCUCUGUACAUCACCUAUACAUGCUGCUCUGUACAUCACCAAUACAUGCUGCUCUGUACAUCACCAAUACAUGCUGCUCUGUACAUCACCUAUACAUGCUGCUCUAUACAUCACCUAUACAUGCUGCUCUAUACAUCACCAAUACAUCACCAAUACAUGCUGCUCUGUACAUCACCAAUACAUCACCAAUACAUGCUGCUCUAUACAUCACCAAUACAUGCUGCUCUAUACAUCACCAAUACAUGCUGCUCUGUACAUCACCUAUACAUCACCUAUACAUGCUGCUCUGUACAUCACCUAUACAUCACCAAUACAUGCUGCUCUGUACAUCACCAAUACAUCACCAAUACAUGCUGCUCUGUACAUCACCUAUACAUGCUGCUCAAUACAUCACCAAUACAUGCUGCUCUGUACAUCACCAAUACAUCACCAAUACAUGCUGCUCUGUACAUCACCAAUACAUCACCAAUACAUGCUGCUCUGUACAUCACCUAUACAUGCUGCUCAAUACAUCACCUAUACAUGCUGCUCAAUACAUCACCAAUACAUGCUGCUCUGUACAUCACCAAUACAUCACCAAUACAUGCUGCUCUGUACAUCACCUAUACAUGCUGCUCUGUACAUCACCAAUACAUGCUACUCUAUACAUCACCUAUACAUGCUGCUCUGUACAUCACCAAUACAUGCUGCUCUGUACAUCACCAAUACAUGCUGCUCUGUACAUCACCAAUACAUGCUGCUCUGUACAUCACCUAUACAUCACCUAUACAUGCUGCUCUGUACAUCACCAAUACAUGCUGCUCUGUACAUCACCUAUACAUGCUGCUCUGUACAUCACCUAUACAUGCUGCUCUGUACAUCACCUAUACAUGCUGCUCUGUAAAUCACCUAUACAUCACCUAUACAUGCUGCUCUGUACAUCACCUAUACAUGCUGCUCUGUACAUCACCUAUACAUGCUGCUCUGUACAUCACCUAUACAUCACCUAUACAUGCUGCUCUGUACAUCACCAAUACAUCACCUAUACAUGCUGCUCUGUACAUCACCUAUACAUGCUACUCUGUACAUCACCUAUACAUGCUGCUCUGUACAUCACCAAUACAUCACCAAUACAUGCUGCUCUGUACAUCACCUAUACAUGCUGCUCUAUACAUCACCAAUACAUGCUGCUCUGUACAUCACCAAUACAUGCUGCUCUGUACAUCACCUAUACAUGCUGCUCUGUACAUCACCAAUACAUGCUGCUCUAUACAUCACCUAUACAUGCUGCUCUGUACAUCACCUAUACAUGCUGCUCUAUACAUCACCUAUACAUGCUGCUCUGUACAUCACCAAUACAUGCUGCUCUGUACAUCACCAAUACAUCACCAAUACAUGCUGCUCUGUACAUCACCAAUACAUCACCAAUACAUGCUGCUCUAUACAUCACCAAUACAUGCUGCUCUGUACAUCACCAAUACAUGCUGCUCUGUACAUCACCAAUACAUCACCAAUACAUGCUGCUCUAUACAUCACCUAUACAUGCUGCUCAAUACAUCACCAAUACAUGCUGCUCUGUACAUCACCAAUACAUCACCAAUACAUGCUGCUCUGUACAUCACCAAUACAUCACCAAUACAUGCUGCUCUGUACAUCACCAAUACAUGCUGCUCUGUACAUCACCAAUACAUGCUACUCUAUACAUCACCUAUACAUGCUACUCUGUACAUCACCAAUACAUGCUGCUAUGUACAUCACCAAUACAUGCUACUCUAUACAUCACCUAUACAUGCUACUCUAUACAUCACCUAUACAUGCUGCUCUGUACAUCACCAAUACAUGCUGCUCUGUACAUCACCAAUACAUGCUACUCUAUACAUCACCAAUACAUGCUGCUCUGUACAUCACCAAUACAUGCUGCUCUGUACAUCACCAAUACAUGCUGCUCUGUACAUCACCUAUACAUCACCAAUACAUGCUGCUAUGUACAUCACCAAUACAUGCUGCUCUGUACAUCACCAACACAUGCUGCUCUGUACAUCACCUAUACAUCACCAAUACAUGCUGCUCUGUACAUCACCAAUACAUGCUGCUCUGUACAUCACCAAUACAUGCUGCUCUAUACAUCACCUAUACAUGCUGCUCUGUACAUCACCUAUACAUGCUGCUCUGUACAUCACCAAUACAUGCUGCUCUGUACAUCACCUAUACAAGCUGCUCUGUACAUCACCUAUACAUGCUGCUCUGUACAUCACCAAUACAUCACCAAUACAUGCUGCUCUGUACAUCACCAAUACAUCACCAAUACAUGCUGCUCUGUACAUCACCAAUACAUCACCAAUACAUGCUGCUCUGUACAUCACCAAUACAUGCUGCUCUAUACAUCACCUAUACAUGCUGCUCUGUACAUCACCUAUACAUGCUGCUCUGUACAUCACCAAUACAUGCUGCUCUGUACAUCACCAAUACAUGCUGCUCUGUACAUCACCUAUACAUGCUGCUCUGUACAUCACCAAUACAUGCUGCUCUGUACAUCAGCUAUACAUGCUGCUCUGUACAUCACCUAUACAUGCUGCUCUGUACAUCAGCUAUACAUGCUGCUCUGUACAUCACCAAUACAUCACCAAUACAUGCUGCUCUAUACAUCACCAAUACAUCACCAAUACAUGCUGCUCUAUACAUCACCAAUACAUCACCAAUACAUGCUGCUCUAUACAUCACCAAUACAUGCUGCUCUGUACAUCACCAAUACAUCACCAAUACAUGCUGCUCUGUACAUCACCAAUACAUCACCAAUACAUGCUGCUCUGUACAUCACCUAUACAUGCUGCUCAAUACAUCACCAAUACAUGCUGCUCUGUACAUCACCAAUACAUCACCAAUACAUGCUGCUCUAUACAUCACCUAUACAUGCUACUCUGUACAUCACCUAUACAUCACCAAUACAUGCUGCUCUGUACAUCACCUAUACAUGCUGCUCAAUACAUCACCAAAUACAUGCUGCUCUGUACAUCACCAAUACAUCACCAAUACAUGCUGCUCUGUACAUCACCAAUACAUCACCAAUACAUGCUGCUCUGUACAUCACCUAUACAUGCUGCUCUGUACAUCACCAAUACAUGCUACUCUAUACAUCACCUAUACAUGCUGCUCUGUACAUCACCAAUACAUGCUACUCUAUACAUCACCUAUACAUGCUACUCUGUACAUCACCAAUACAUGCUGCUAUGUACAUCACCAAUACAUGCUACUCUAUACAUCACCUAUACAUGCUACUCUAUACAUCACCUAUACAUGCUGCUCUGUACAUCACCAAUACAUGCUGCUCUGUACAUCACCAAUACAUGCUGCUCUGUACAUCACCUAUACAUCACCAAUACAUGCUGCUCUGUACAUCACCAAUACAUGCUGCUCUGUACAUCACCAAUACAUGCUGCUCUAUACAUCACCUAUACAUGCUGCUCUGUACAUCACCUAUACAUGCUGCUCUGUACAUCACCAAUACAUCACCAAUACAUGCUGCUCUGUACAUCACCAAUACAUCACCAAUACAUGCUGCUCUGUACAUCACCAAUACAUCACCAAUACAUGCUGCUCUGUACAUCACCAAUACAUCACCAAUACAUGCUGCUCUAUACAUCACCUAUACAUCACCAAUACAUGCUGCUCUGUACAUCACCAAUACAUGCUGCUCUGUACAUCACCAAUACAUGCUGCUCUAUACAUCACCUAUACAUGCUGCUCUGUACAUCACCUAUACAUGCUGCUCUGUACAUCACCAAUACAUCACCAAUACAUGCUGCUCUGUACAUCACCGAUACAUCACCAAUACAUGCUGCUCUAUACAUCACCUAUACAUGCUGCUCUGUACAUCACCUAUACAUGCUGCUCUGUACAUCACCUAUACAUGCUGCUCUGUACAUCACCAAUACAUGCUACUCUAUACAUCACCUAUACAUGCUGCUCUAUACAUCACCAAUACAUGCUGCUCUGUACAUCACCUAUACAUGCUGCUCUAUACAUCACCUAUACAUGCUGCUCUGUACAUCACCUAUACAUGCUGCUCUGUACAUCACCUAUACAUGCUGCUCUGUACAUCACCAAUACAUGCUGCUCUGUACAUCACCAAUACAUCACCAAUACAUGCUGCUCUGUACAUCACCAAUACAUCACCAAUACAUGCUGCUCUGUACAUCACCAAUACAUCACCAAUACAUGCUGCUCUGUACAUCACCAAUACAUCACCAAUACAUGCUGCUCUGUACAUCACCAAUACAUCACCAAUACAUGCUGCUCUGUACAUCACCUAUACAUGCUGCUCUGUACAUCACCAAUACAUCACCAAUACAUGCUGCUCUGUACAUCAGCUAUACAUGCUGCUCUGUACAUCACCAAUACAUGCUGCUCUGUACAUCAGCUAUACAUGCUGCUCUGUACAUCAGCUAUACAUGCUGCUCUGUACAUCAGCUAUACAUGCUGCUCUGUACAUCACCAAUACAUGCUGCUCUGUACAUCACCUAUACAUGCUGCUCUGUACAUCACCAAUACAUGCUGCUCUGUACAUCACCUAUACAUGCUGCUCUGUACAUCACCAAUACAUGCUGCUCUGUACAUCACCAAUACAUGCUGCUCUGUACAUCACCUAUACAUCACCUAUACAUGCCGCUCUGUACAUCACCAAUACAUGCUGCUCUGUACAUCACCAAUACAUGCUGCUCUGUACAUCACCUAUACAUGCUGCUCUGUACAUCACCAAUACAUGCUGCUCUGUACAUCACCAAUACAUGCUGCUCUGUACAUCACCUAUACAUGCUGCUCUGUACAUCACCUAUACAUGCUGCUCUAUACAUCACCAAUACAUCACCUAUACAUGCUACUCUGUACAUCACCUAUACAUGCUGCUCUGUACAUCACCUAUACAUGCUGCUCUAUACAUCACCUAUACAUGCUACUCUAUACAUCACCAAUACAUGCUGCUCUGUACAUCACCUAUACAUGCUGCUCUGUACAUCACCUAUACAUGCUGCUCUAUACAUCACCAAUACAUGCUGCUCUGUAUAUCACCUAUACAUGCUGCUCUAUACAUCACCUAUACAUGCUGCUCUGUACAUCACCAAUACAUGCUGCUCUGUACAUCACCUAUACAUGCUACUCUAUACAUCACCUAUACAUGCUGCUCUGUACAUCACCAAUACAUGCUACUCUAUACAUCACCUAUACAUGCUGCUCUGUACAUCACCAAUAAAUGCUGCUCUGUACAUCACCAAUACAUGCUACUCUAUACAUCACCUAUACAUGCUGCUCUGUACAUCACCUAUACAUGCUGCUCUGUACAUCACCUAUACAUGCUGCUCUGUACAUCACCAAUACAUCACCAAUACAUGCUACUCUGUACAUCACCUAUACAUGCUACUCUGUACAUCACCAAUACAUCACCAAUACAAAUGAUGUGGCUGUGAGAGCAGAGGGAAUUGUGCUGACUUUAACUGGGCAUGUGUCCCAAAUGGCACCCUCCUGCCUUUAUAGUGUGCUACCCCAUAGUCCCUGUUCAAAUGUAGUGCACUAUAAAGGGAGUAGGGUGCCAUUUUUGAAUGACUAACUUAGUCUGACCUUGAGUUGGGGUUUAGAGGAGGCAGGCCUUGAUGGAGUGUGGAGCCACCUCAUAAUUUACUGCCCUUAUCCCAAUUAAAGAACUGUAAAAACAUUCAAAUUAAUGCAGUCUUAACUUCUGGAGCAGGCCCUACUUUUCUUAAUUAGUGCAUAAUUAUUCCGAUUUUGAUAUCCGCUGAAAACGAUCACAUGGAAAUUAUUUCAGGCUCUGUAACAAUAGCUCUUGUAUGAUAUAUAAAUAUAUAUAUAUAUAUAUAUAUAUGCUCUUCUGCUAAAAUCUCUAUUAACAUGUGGAAGUAAUUAACUGGUAAUUACAUUGGAAGUACAACGACCAUUAGGAAGUUUGAUAGCCUCUGGUCUGUCACUCAGGCCAGAAAGUUCAGCCGUCUGUGAAAAACGAUGGUCACUCCAUGAAGAAGCUUGGAUAGUAAACUAACAGACAUUGUAGCUCAGACAGGACACUAACAAGACAUUGUAGCUCAGACAGGACACUAACAAGACAUUGUAGCUCUGACAGGACACUAACAAGACAUUGUAUCUCAGACAGGACACUAACAAGACAUUGUAGCUCAGACAGGACACAGACAGGACACUAACAAGACAUUGUAGCUCAGACAGGACACUAACAAGACAUUGUAUCUCAGACAGGACACUAACAAGACAUUGUAGCUCAGACAGGACACAGACAGGACACUAACACGACAUUGUAGCUCAGACAGGACACUAACAAGACAUUGUAUCUCAGACAGGACACUAACACGACAUUGUAGCUCAGACAGGACACUAACAAGUCAUUGUAUCUCAGACAGGACACUAACAAGACAUUGUAUCUCAGACAGGACACUAACAAGACAUUGUAGCUCAGACAGGACACAGACAGGACACUAACAUGACAUUGUAGCUCAGACAGGACACUAACAAGACAUUGUAUCUCAGACAGGACACUAACAAGACAUUGUAGCUCAGACAGGACACAGACAGGACACUACCACGACAUUGUAGCUCAGACAGGACACUACCACAACAUUGUAUCUCAGACAGGAUACUACCACAACAUUGUAUCUCAGACAGGACACUAACAAGACUUUGUAUCUCAGACAGGACACUAACCCGUCAUUGUAUCUCAGACAGGACACUAACAAGACUUUGUAUCUCAGACAGGUCACUAACCCGUCAUUGUAUCUCAGACAGGACAAAAACACGUCAUUGUAUCUCAGACAGGAAACUACCACAACAUUGUAUCUCAGACAGGACACUAACAAGACAUUAUAGCUCAAACAGGACACUACCACAACAUUGUAUCUCAGACAGGACAAUAACACAUCAUUGUAUCUCUGACAGGACACAGACAGGACACUAACACAACAUUAUAGCUCAAACAGGACACUACCACAACAUUGUAUCUCAGACAGGACACUACCACAACAUUGUAUCUCAGACAGGAUACUACCACAACAUUGUAUCUCAGACAGGACACUAACAAGACUUUGUAUCUCAGACAGGACAAAAACACGUCAUUGUAUCUCAGACAGGACACUACCACAACAUUGUAUCUCAGACAGGACACUAACAAGACAUUAUAGCUCAAACAGGACACUACCACAACAUUGUAUCUCAGAUAGGACAAUAACACAUCAUUGUAUCUCAGACAGGACACAGACAGGACACUAACACAACAUUAUAGCUCAAACAGGACACUACCACAACAUUGUAUCUCAGACAGGACACUGACAAGACAUAGUAGCACAUACAGGACAAUAACACAUCAUUGUAUCCACUAUUGACAAGGUGGAAAAUACAGAUCUUAUUGACAUCAUUGGUCAGCUAUAAAAAUCUUCUUUUU
Long non-coding RNA from Oncorhynchus mykiss (rainbow trout), 7735 nucleotides. Lineage: Eukaryota; Metazoa; Chordata; Actinopteri; Salmoniformes; Salmonidae. The record is from Ensembl.